RNAcentral lists this long non-coding RNA (728 nucleotides) under Homo sapiens (human). Its description in RNAcentral is "HSALNT0275838". The record is from RNAcentral. Lineage: Eukaryota; Metazoa; Chordata; Mammalia; Primates; Hominidae.
UCCCCUGCUUCACUUGACUGGCCUUACCCAAAGAAACAAUUUAAAAGGGUUAAGACAGUAACUUUUGUUAUGUGCAUUUUACCAAACUUUUUAAAAGUUACAAAAAUGGUAAAUUUUAAGUUAAGCAUAUUUUACCAUUUAAAGAAAAGCACACAGCCUAGAAUCACAAGGCAGACGUGGGUGGCCCCAGGCCUUUGCUGCCAUUUUUCCUUAGGGCAAACGGCUACUCUCUGCCCUCCAACUUCUGGUGACUGAUCAAGUCCUCUUCAGUCCUGCCAUUUCCGGAAGCUUCUCUGAUCUCACUUCCCUUGAGCACAUACAUGUGUGCCUCUCCCUCUCUUCCGGUAACUUGUAAGUUCCCAGAUCGCAAGAACCACACUAUCCGCCUUGCGCGGUGGGAAGAACACCGCAGGGCCACCACGUGCCAAACGGAACAGCUCUGCAUUCACACAGAGACCCAGAAUCCCAGCCUUGCCGCUUCCCAGUUGUGUCUUUACCUGUAAAUGGGCAGCCCCACCCCAGGGCGACAGAUGAGCCCAUGAGGGGCCCUAUGGGAAGCACUUUGUCACCGUGCCCAGGGAUGGCUUCAGCCCCCUCCCUUGAGGGGCCCUCAACUUGGAAAUGGGACGGUCCAUUCAUCCAAACAGACUGAUUCCGAGGUUAUUAGAUCUGGGUCACCACAUCUGCCACUGCGGAGCAUUAGGGUGACUUCCUCCCCCCACCCACCC